Molecule: transfer RNA, 71 nt
Filed under: Microcaldota archaeon
Lineage: Archaea; Nanobdellati; Microcaldota
Description: tRNA-His
Rfam family: tRNA
About the family: Transfer RNA (tRNA) molecules are approximately 80 nucleotides in length. Their secondary structure includes four short double-helical elements and three loops (D, anti-codon, and T loops). Further hydrogen bonds mediate the characteristic L-shaped molecular structure. tRNAs have two regions of fundamental functional importance: the anti-codon, which is responsible for specific mRNA codon recognition, and the 3' end, to which the tRNAs corresponding amino acid is attached (by aminoacyl-tRNA synthetases). tRNAs cope with the degeneracy of the genetic code in two manners: having more than one tRNA (with a specific anti-codon) for a particular amino acid; and 'wobble' base-pairing, i.e. permitting non-standard base-pairing at the 3rd anti-codon position.
Source: RNAcentral
GCCUCGGUGGUGUAACGGCCGCAUGUAGGACUGUGGAUCCUCAGGACCGGGUCCGACUCCCGGCCGAGGCC